This 257-nucleotide long non-coding RNA is filed under the name Cyanistes caeruleus (blue tit). Its description in RNAcentral is "lncRNA (ENSCCEG00000020863.1)". The record is from RNAcentral. Lineage: Eukaryota; Metazoa; Chordata; Aves; Passeriformes; Paridae.
GCUACAGGGCCAACACAUUACCUGCUGCAGACAGGUGUUUGGAAAUGACUGAGAUAGGUCCAGUGAUCUGCCUGUUUUGAGGCAGUCUGGGAAGUAUGCUCACUGCAGAGCUGAUGAACCCAACUGGCCAACCUUGCCUCAAGAACCUGUUUGGUAAAUCAAAACUGCACCCAGAAACAUCAGCAGCUCACGGCAUUAAGUGGUCUUCACGACAUUUGUCCAGGUGCACUUGGAGGCUGGGUGCUUUGUCCCAGUGA